CUCAGCCUAAUCCCAAUGAUUACCCAAUGGGACUGUAAAGUGUAAAUGAAGCAGUCAUUGCCUGGUGACUGACUACUUGAGCUCCAGCACACGCCACCUUAUCGCUGCCACUUUCUGCAGCUCUCUAAGAUUCACUUACUGUUAAGACUUUUAACAUUCACUUGGAAUCGCCGCGUUGUGACAAACUGAGAUCACAGCUCUUCCAGCUCCUGCACUGGAAGGAAAGCACCUCAAAUCCAAUGCCAUUUUGGGAUGACAGAGUAAUCAAGCAAAAAUACAAACACGACGUCAGCCAUGCAGGUUCCUUCUGCGGCGGGGUCUGCAGGACUGCCACCAGCUUUCUCCUGAAACACAACGCUGCUGGGCUGAAGGACUUCUAGGCUGAGUUCCCCGUGCCUUUAGCAGUGGAGUGCUGUAAAGGAGGACCAAAACCUCAAAGGAAAGGAAAGUCACAGCUUUUUGGGAAAACGACUUUGAAAUCGGACGCAGGAAUUAAGUGACUUCAAUCCCAAACACUCAGUAGAAUUCAAAGCUUGAUUGCAGGCUUGUUUGUUUGUAUCUGGUCUUUCUGAUGUGCUGAGAAAAUGCGGUGCUGCUGAGAAAAGUUCCGUAUGGCAGGGUGUUCUCAGAACGAGCUCCUGGCGCUAUCUUGUUUCUUCUGUCCAGCGACAGCACUGUGUUACCUUGCUUGGAUCUGUCUUUUCCUUCUUUCAGGUCACGGGCUCCUUGGAAGCACUGCCCCUGGGGUGGUCCGAGCCACCAAGAAGGGAAGCUUUCUGCUGAGGGGUAGCAGCCCGUGAUCCUGAUCUCCUCAGGCUGUCCAGUGUGUGACAACCUGCCUCUGGAAAAGCUUCCUCUCACUCUUUCUUUCCAUUCCUCUCUCCCUGAAGGGCGCCGACUGUGUGCUCUGCUUGAAGCCCCAUGGGGCAGAUGCCCUGAGCAGCCUCGCUCCUUUGAGGAAGGUGUGAUGGAAUGGGCUUCUGGCCGGGGCUGUCCAGUCUGUAGGCCACCUUUCCCUGCCACGUGCAGCUCCAGCCACGGGUAUGAGGAGGCAGAGAAGCCAGCCCCAGCCUCCCCGGGAGAGGGGAGGCCGCAGUCAGAUCAUUGCAAACAGGACUUCAUUAAUUAUAAAUGGACAAGUUCCCCUGAGCUGCUGUAGCUCUGCAUGAGUCACAUUCUAACUGAGUUUUCUCUCUGUUUUCUUUUUCUUCUUCUUCUUCUUUCUCUUGAAGAGUUGUUGAAGGGUUGAAAUACUGUGAUGGAUAAAUAAGGAGCCAGCUGUGCUCUGCAGUCAGCCCCACCAGAGCCUUUCUGCAGCAGUAGCCCGCAGCAGUCUCCUCUCUGCCUCACUCUUCACUCCCAUCCCCCGGGUUCUGCCAUCUGUUCUCGCUCUCCAGGUUUCUUCUCCCUCACAGUGGCAUAUUUUGCUCUCAUGCUGUAAGUUCCUUUCCAGCAUGUGGUCUCAGCCCUCAGUGGUGCAUGGAUGUAUGUUCAUACAACAGCAUGACCAAAGGGCUCAGUUGUAGGACACCCACUUGGUUCGGCUGUGCCUCCCUCUUUCAUCUUGGAGAUGGCCCUGGUUAGACAAAAGGAGAAGGAGCAACAAACCCAGCAAACCUUGGCUUUCUGUUAGGAGCUGUCAGACAGUUUUUGUUCUGAUUUCUGACAAUAUGCUGGCAUAUAUUCCCUCACAAGGGAAGGUUGGGAUGUGUCCUGGGGCUCUGAGGGAUGGACACAUCAAGAGUGGAUGGGGUGGCUGGAGGGCCAGCAUGAGUGUAUGGACAGAGCUGUCCCCAAAACCUGCCUUGCAGCUUGUCAGUCCUUUGGGAACAUCUCCUUCCCUGGGCAUCCUGUCAGCAUGAGUGCUGAACUCCGUGUCUGUCAUGGCACAGCCAAGGUUUGGAGUGGUGUUUCUGGAGGCUUUGCUGGCUAUGCUUUCAAGCCCAGAAACUGCUUUUCUUGCUUCCUCAAUGUGCUUGGUUUCAGAGGUGCCCUCCAGAGGUGCUUGAAUUGCUGCCUGGAAGCUGUUUCUCCAUCCAGCUCCCCAGGGCUACUGUGCCCUUGCUCCUUGAGGUGGUUCUUUUCAGUGACUUGUACCUCCAAAAGACUGGCUGUGCACCCUGAUUUGUGAACUUGGGUGACUGGUUGGCCUUCUCCUGCAUCUCAGCCCUCAGCAGGGGGGAAUGCUCCUUCUUAACCCAUGAACUUCAGGCAGCUCCCGAAUCCAUGGAAUGUGUCCCAUCUGCAGCGCGUUAGGGGUCCACUCGCAGCAGAGGAAGAAGCACAUGUGGGUUGUGAACCCUUCAGAAGAGGAAGAAAACAAGCUAAUUAAUCUAAAGGAUGUGGUGCCAGGAGCUACAUCUGUGGGCCAACUGGCCCUGGAAGCGUGGUUCCCAGGUGCUACUCAUCCAAGGGGGUAUUGCAGAGGUGAUGGGGGCAUGAAGGGUGGAAGAAUGAGGGUGCAAGGGGUCCGGGCACAGAGGAACCCCUGCUUCCUAUUCUUUGAGGGGACUGAAGGAGGACUGACCCUCAGCCAUCCCUCCAGGAUACAGACCACCUUUUCCCACUCAGCCUCUUUCACCAGGCACUGUGACUUUGAUUCUCAGCUGCCCAAGCACUCCUGUUUCUCCACCAUAAUGGUGGUGGGAAGGACGGGCCACGUUGGCAGCACGGUGCACCCUUGCUCCUCUUCUCUUCAGGUCCCAGUGAGCACCUUCCUUUCCACCCUAGCCUCAAGGGCUGCCUCGUUCCCCCUGGUAUGCUGCUGGCCAUGGAAAGUGUGAACUUGGGGAGGUGCCACAACUCCAUCUCACCUUGGCCUCUCCUUUGCUGCUCUUUCAGCCACCCCAGAGCUGGUGCAGGGAAUUACAAGGAGGUGGACGUGGUGCUUCUGCUUUGCUCACCUGCAGCUCGCCCUCCUGGACCACGCUCUGUGCUGUUGAACUCCACUCACCACCCUCCCCUGCUGCUAAUCUCUCUUCUCAGGCGUGGGUUUGAUCUCGGCGGCGAGCCGCCCGCCCGGCCGCUCUCUGUCUGCUCCUUCUCAGUGCAUUUAAAGCAGCCACUGGGAGCCAACCUUCCACCCCCGUGUGCCCACACGGAAGAAGAUAGGAGGAUUUGACGUCUAUUGAUGGAUGUGACUCCUGGAAGGCGUCUCUUAGCUGAAGGACCCGGAGCUUUCAGGUGAGUCCUUUUCUACAAGUAAACGCGUAAAUCUCCGAGCUGGGUUUGGGGCUGUGUGAGAGCGCUGAAAGCAGACUGCGACGGCAGUAAGGCUCUUCACACCGGCGGAUGCCACCAGGGCAGCAGGCAGGCAGAGGAGACGCUGCGGCUCCCGAG
RNAcentral lists this long non-coding RNA (3339 nucleotides) under Gallus gallus (chicken). RNAcentral describes it as "lncRNA (ENSGALG00010007221.1)". The record is from RNAcentral. Lineage: Eukaryota; Metazoa; Chordata; Aves; Galliformes; Phasianidae.